UACGUAGGGGGCAAGCGUUGUCCGGAUUUAUUGGGCGUAAAGAGCGUGUAGGCGGCCAGAUAGGUCCGUUGUGAAAACUCGAGGCUCAACCUCGAGACGCCGAUGGAAACCAUCUGGCUAGAGUCCGGAAGAGGAGAGUGGAAUUCCCGGUGUAGCGGUGAAAUGCGCAGAUAUCGGGAAGAACACCCGUGGUUAAGGCGGCUCUCUAGUACGGUACUGACGCUGAGACGCGAAAGCGUGGGGAGCGAACAGG
RNAcentral lists this ribosomal RNA (253 nucleotides) under uncultured bacterium. Its description in RNAcentral is "partial 16S ribosomal RNA". It matches the Rfam family "Bacterial small subunit ribosomal RNA", at positions 524 to 776 of the family's 1533-position model. The record is from RNAcentral.